CAGCGCCGCGGUAAUACAGAGGGUGCGAGCGUUAAUCGGAUUUACUGGGCGUAAAGCGUGCGUAGGCGGCUUUUUAAGUCGGAUGUGAAAUCCCUGAGCUUAACUUAGGAAUUGCAUUCGAUACUGGGAAGCUAGAGUAUGGGAGAGGAUGGUAGAAUUCCAGGUGUAGCGGUGAAAUGCGUAGAGAUCUGGAGGAAUACCGAUGGCGAAGGCAGCCAUCUGGCCUAAUACUGACGCUGAGGUACGAAAGCAUGGGGAGCAAACAGGAUUAGAUACCCCUGUAGUCCCUGUCUCUUAUACA
RNAcentral lists this ribosomal RNA (301 nucleotides) under uncultured bacterium. RNAcentral's name for it is "partial 16S ribosomal RNA". It matches the Rfam family "Bacterial small subunit ribosomal RNA", at positions 509 to 808 of the family's 1533-position model. The record is from RNAcentral.